GUCAUAUGCUUGUCUCAAAGAUUAAGCCAUGCAUGUCUCAGUACAAGCCAAAUUAAGGUGAAACCGCGAAAGGCUCAUUAAAUCAGUUAUGGUUCCUUAGGUCGUACCCACAAUUACUUGGAUAACUGUGGUAAUUCUAGAGCUAAUACAUGCAAACAGAGCUCCGACCGGAGACGGAAGGAGUGCUUUUAUUAGAUCAAAACCAAUCGGUGGCGGGUUCGCUCGUCAUCGUACAACUUGGUGACUCUGAAUAACUUUACGCUGAUCGCACGGUCAUCGCACCGGCGACGCAUCUUUCAAAUGUCUGCCUUAUCAACUGUCGAUGGUAGGUUCUGCGCCUACCAUGGUUGUAACGGGUAACGGGGAAUCAGGGUUCGAUUCCGGAGAGGGAGCCUGAGAAACGGCUACCACAUCCAAGGAAGGCAGCAGGCGCGCAAAUUACCCACUCCCGGCACGGGGAGGUAGUGACGAAAAAUAACGAUACGGGACUCAUCCGAGGCCCCGUAAUCGGAAUGAGUACACUCUAAACCCAUUAACGAGGAUCAAUUGGAGGGCAAGUCUGGUGCCAGCAGCCGCGG
Molecule: ribosomal RNA, 578 nt
Filed under: Trigonopterus lombokensis
Lineage: Eukaryota; Metazoa; Arthropoda; Insecta; Coleoptera; Curculionidae
Description: SSU rRNA
Rfam family: Eukaryotic small subunit ribosomal RNA
Source: RNAcentral